AUGAAUUUAAUGCCAGCAAGUGGCCUGCUGCAGCUCUGCGACCAGGUGGAGGGACCAGCAUCGACGUGUACAGCAGGAAGGGUUGUUGAACAGAUCCCUUUUACGUUACCUGUACUACGUGAAGAGGUUUGCAUCCAACCCAGCAGCCAGCUCUUCACACUUACACACAGGCAGGUGAGUUUGAACCAAAUUGGUUUGUAUAAAUAGUACCUUGCUUUUUCAAAAACCUCAAAGUCCCCAGAGAUGCAUAACCAAAGUUGUAGAGGACUCUACCCGUAACCUAGCUCCGGCUUGCCCUUUGUCCCAAACUCCUCCAGCUCUGGCACUAGGUUUGUGUGGGUAGGAACUGCCUAUUUUUAAUGCUCACUCUGAAUUGUGUGGUUUGAGGGGUGGAAAUUCUGUCUCCGUACCAGGCAUCCUUCAUUUCUCUUAGUUCCCACCCUGGUCUCAUAAUAAAAUAAUGUCGAUUGUGCUUAUAUUCA
This 482-nucleotide long non-coding RNA is filed under the name Anas platyrhynchos platyrhynchos (common mallard). RNAcentral's name for it is "lncRNA (ENSAPLG00000029837.1)". The record is from RNAcentral. Lineage: Eukaryota; Metazoa; Chordata; Aves; Anseriformes; Anatidae.